This is a long non-coding RNA of Patiria miniata (bat star), 1145 nucleotides long. RefSeq lists it as uncharacterized. The transcript has 2 exons. Lineage: Eukaryota; Metazoa; Echinodermata; Asteroidea; Valvatida; Asterinidae. The record is from RefSeq and is a predicted model, not a curated record.
UCUGGAGAAUUCACAGUUAAAAUGUGCCAAGCAUUCUGAGCAAGUCAUUGUACCAGACGUUUUUCAAAUGUAAAUCCCAAAGGGUAUAGGUUACACGCAAGUGGCUUAUUGAGAUGGUUAUUGGUGGAAGGUUGCUGGAAUUUGAAGGGAAAGUGAGGGAGUUGUCUCCAGGAUUCUGAGCUGUGUACAUGUAUAUGUAUAUGCGCCAUCACUCUGCUCUGCUGCUAGCGAUAUAUUUUGAUUCUUUGGGGCAAUCCAGGCCCUGAGAUAUUUUCUUUUCCAAGCAAUCUGGCUUGUGAAAUUGCAGUGCAGCCAACAUUUUAAAAUCUUCAGAGUGCUUUUCAAGCAAAUUUGUGCUUGAAUGUUUUUUUAACUUUGGCGUGAGGGAGACAGUUCAGCAACAUCGACCAGCAACCACGGCCUACUCUGAUCCUAACUCAGACGAGGAUGGACGCACAAAGGUGACGCCACCGGCACUGAAGUCAGCAGAAGGACUGAAGGCAGCUUAAGCUUACAGUAUUUCCAGUGUCUCCGUGGAGUGGGUGGGGAGAACUACCAGGAAGAAGUCAGUUGUUUUUAUGCCGUAUUUAUGUAAUUGUUCAUUGGUAGUAUUGUAAUAAUAAUUUUGAUGUGCUAGAUAACUUACUGAACCUGCUACUGAAGAGUGUAUUUUGAAUUUGUAGUAACGUGAGGACGUGAAACAUCACCAAAAGUUGGAUAAAUUAUUGAAUUUAAAUUGGUGACGUUGUUCACACGGACCCUGCGGGGAGUGGAGUUACAGAGAACUUAGUAAUUUGGUGAUACUUGCGGAGAGAAGUUUAAUUCCACUUAUACAGUGAAGUUUAAGGAGUUUUGUUUUCAUAUAUUUUGGGAAGGUUUAAAUUCAUAGUUUGCAGACAGUGGUGAAUCUUGGGUAGAUUCAACCGUCCGUGAUAGUCCAACAUUUUUAUUGUAUAUUUGACCAGUGUGAUUAAUCCCGUAUUCAUUCGGACUUUGGAUGUGAUAGUCCAUCACAGCUGUAAUAUUUUCUAUUUAUAUAUUUGAUUACAACUCACAAGUGGUGUAUUUGAGAGUAAUUAACUCAAGCUUGAGGUAUUGUUGUAAGUAGGAGUGAUUUUUAAGUUAAUAAACUAAUUCAGAGAACA